Molecule: unclassified non-coding RNA, 802 nt
Filed under: Hevea brasiliensis (rubber tree)
Lineage: Eukaryota; Viridiplantae; Streptophyta; Magnoliopsida; Malpighiales; Euphorbiaceae
Source: RNAcentral
GUACAUCUUCCAUCGUUCAAAGAUAAAACAUCUAAACCAAACAUCAUCCCCCAAUCACGAGAUCAGGUUUUAUUUUGGCGCUUAAUUAGCAAACCCCUUACAUAUUGAUAACCCUAAUUAAUUAAUUAAUCAACCAGGUCACUACAGUACCGUGUCGAUGCAUAGUGCAAACCUUACAUCUCCUCAACCCUAGCAUCCACUCACCAUUACUCAAUCUACUCAAAAGCCACUCCCUUGUUGGCUUCCUCACUUUCCACCUUGUCCUCCACUACUGCUUCUUUGAUUUCUUCAACAGCAGCCGCUGCAGGCUCUUCAACAGUGGUCACAUUGGUCUCUAAUGGCUCAUCAACCUUCACCUUUGUAGUAACAUCUUCAGCCUGCACCUCAAUCUUCUCAGCUGCUGGUUCUGCUGCCUCUUCUACCACCUCCUUUGGUUCCUCAUCUUUGGUGGUCACAGCUUCUUGCACCUCUACCACUUUUGCUGAUUCUUCAUCUUUGGAGCUCUCGGAUUCUUGCACAUCUACCGCUUCAGUUGAUUCUUCCUCUUUGGCGGUCUUAGCUGCUUCUUGUACUUCCUCUACUUCCUUUGAUUCUUCUUCUUUCGUGGUCUCAGUUUCUUGCACCACUGGUUCUUCAGUUAUGGACGGUUCCUCUGGUGUUGCUUCUUCUAUUGCUGCAGCUUCCACUUCGAUGUCCUUGGUUACCACAGGUAACUCUUGUUGGACCUCUGUGGCCUCAACUGGCAGAGCGGAUGUUGCAGAUUCAACCUCAACUGUGGCCAUUGAAUCACAAGGGAGAGAGA